ACGGAGGGUGCGAGCGUUGUUCGGAAUUACUGGGCGUAGAGCGCGUGUAGGCGGCCUUGCAAGUCAGGCGUGAAAGCCCUCGGCUUAACCGGGGAAGUGCGUCUGAAACUGCUUGGCUUGAGUACGGGAGAGGGAGGCGGAAUUCCCAGUGUAGAGGUGAAAUUCGUAGAUAUUGGGAGGAACACCGGUGGCGAAAGCGGCCUCCUGGACCGAUACUGACGCUGAGACGCGAAAGCGUGGGGAGCAAACAGGAUUAGAUACCCUGGUAGUCCACGCGGUAAACGAUGGGCACUAGGUGUGGGGGGUAUCCACUCCUCCCGUGCCGAAGCUAACGCAUUAAGUGCCCCGCCUGGGGAGUACGGCCGCAAGGUUA
Molecule: ribosomal RNA, 373 nt
Filed under: uncultured bacterium
Lineage: Bacteria
Description: bacterial SSU rRNA
Rfam family: Bacterial small subunit ribosomal RNA
Source: RNAcentral